Molecule: RNase P RNA, 249 nt
Filed under: Klebsiella pneumoniae
Lineage: Bacteria; Pseudomonadati; Pseudomonadota; Gammaproteobacteria; Enterobacterales; Enterobacteriaceae
Description: partial RNase P RNA component class A
Rfam family: Bacterial RNase P class A
About the family: Ribonuclease P (RNase P) is a ubiquitous endoribonuclease, found in archaea, bacteria and eukarya as well as chloroplasts and mitochondria. Its best characterised activity is the generation of mature 5'-ends of tRNAs by cleaving the 5'-leader elements of precursor-tRNAs.
Source: RNAcentral
AAAAGAGAGAAAACCGCCGAUGGCCCGCGCAAGCGGGAUCAGGUAAGGGUGAAAGGGUGCGGUAAGAGCGCACCGCGCGGCUGGUAACAGUCCGCGGCACGGUAAACUCCACCCGGAGCAAGGCCAAAUAGGGGUUCAUAAGGUACGGCCCGUACUGAACCCGGGUAGGCUGCUUGAGCCAGUGAGCGAUUGCUGGCCUAGAUGAAUGACUGUCCACGACAGAACCCGGCUUAUCGGUCAGUUUCACCU